CUGGGGGAAGGAGUUAUACUCAGUGGUGGCCAUAGAGAGUUGGUGACUGCCUUUGAGAGGAGAAUGGUUGUGAUCCUUUUGCCGAGAACUCACCCAGAGGACUUAUACCUUGGUGACAGCAGAAGGACUCAAAUUAGAAAACUGAGGCCCAGAGAAGGAAAGUAGCUGCCAGAGGUCACACAGCUAGGAUUGAGGGAUCAGAGAGUUCCUCCUCCCCCACAAGCUGGCACAUGUGGAUAUUGGCUCUGUUUUGCCUUUGACCCCUAGUGAAAGAAAAUACUGAGACGGAGUCUCGCUCUGUCGCCCAGGUUGGAGUGAAGCGGCUAGAUCUCAGCUCACUGCAACCUCUGCCUCCCAGAUCUUCUUCCAUAUAUGGCUCUGUGUGUCUCCUGUCCUUCCCUGUCUCCUCACUGCUUUUCAGCUGGUAGACCCCUGUGGGGACAACAGAUCAGAGCUUGGUCACCAAUAUGGACAUCUAGGUCUGAGCAGGGCCCACUCCCCGGGGGCGCAUCAGCUCCAUCCCGGCACCCUUUACACUGGCCUUCUCUUCACAAAGGACCACAGGUCAUCCUCAAGCCUUCCUCCCAGGCUAUCCUUGUCCCUGAAUACUAAUGUCUAAAGGUCAGCCCAGCUACCAGCAGUGUGCAUGUGAUGUGUCCCAUCUCCCCUUCGGAUUGGAGGAAGAAGCUGUGUCCCUCCCAUCAGACAGACGGUCUCCUUAAAGAUUCUCCUGGUCUCCAGCUUGGGCUCUGCUGGAAAGAAGAGGAAGUAUUUAGCAAGGGUGAAGAUGGGUUCUUACUUCCCUGAGGCAACCAGAGAUAAGAAAAGACCAGAAUAUGAAUAUCCAGCAUUCCACAAAGAAUCCUACAGGCAGGGAUAUUGCCCAAUCACCAGUGCCUCGCAUCCCAGUUCUAUCCAAGAUCCAAGCUUGAUAUCCUCCUGAAAGACUUCCUGAAUCAGGUCACCAACAUGGACAUCUGAACUUCCAGAAUCAGGUCACCGUCUUUCUUCUCAUCUCUGGAUGUAUUUGGAGCUCAUUUGUCUGACGGUUUUUGAAUGCUAUCUUUUAAAAAUAAACUUUUACAAUUUGGGUUUAAUAAUUCUAGAUUUAUAGAAAAGUUGAAAAGAAAGUACAGAAAGUUCCCAUAUAUCCCUUAUCCAGUUCUCUUAAUGUUAACCUCCUACAUCAUCAUGGAACAUUUGCCAAAAUGAAGAUGUCAACACUGGUGCUUUGCUGUGAACUAAACUCCAGACUU
Molecule: long non-coding RNA, 1256 nt
Filed under: Homo sapiens (human)
Lineage: Eukaryota; Metazoa; Chordata; Mammalia; Primates; Hominidae
Description: TGF-beta induced lncRNA activating myofibroblasts
Source: RNAcentral